Molecule: ribosomal RNA, 493 nt
Filed under: uncultured bacterium
Lineage: Bacteria
Description: partial 16S ribosomal RNA
Rfam family: Bacterial small subunit ribosomal RNA
Source: RNAcentral
GACGAACGCUGGCGGCGUGCUUAACACAUGCAAGUCGAACGGUAAGGCCCUUCGGGGUACACGAGUGGCGAACGGGUGAGUAACACGUGGGUGACCUGCCCCUUCACUCUGGGAUAAGCCUGGGAAACUGGGUCUAAUACCGGAUAUUCACCGAUUCUCGCAUGGGGAUGGGUGGAAAGCUAGUUGCUUUUGGUGACUGGGUGGUGGGGGAUGGGCCCGCGGCCUAUCAGGUGGUUGGUGGGGUGAUGGCUUACCAAGGCGACGACGGGUAGCCGGCCUGAGAGGGCGACCGGCCACACUGGGACUGAGACACGGCCCAGACUCCUACGGGAGGCAGCAGUGGGGAAUAUUGCGCAAUGGGCGAAAGCCUGACGCAGCGACGCCGCGUGGGGGAAGAAGGCCUUCGGGUUGUAAACCUCUUUCAGGAGGGACGAAGCCACUCGGGUGAAUAGCCCAGAGGGUGACGGUACCUCCAGAAGAAGCCCCGGCUAAC